GGACUUACAACAACACAUACAUUAAAAUUAUAAUUAAAUUAAUUAUUAAAUUGGACUUGGGUUUUAUUUUUUUAUAUUUGGGUAGGGCUUUUAGUUUAUUUUUAUUUUUUGAGUUAGGUACUUGGGCUACAUUUAUAUUGAGUUGGAUUAUUCCACAAAACUAUUCUUGAAUGUUUAAAAAAAGUAACUAAUUCAGUUAUUUCAGUUUAGGUUAUCAAAAUCGAAAUCAAACUAAAUUAAUCAUUUAAAUCAAUAUAAU
This 259-nucleotide long non-coding RNA is filed under the name Gossypium raimondii (Peruvian cotton). RNAcentral describes it as "long non-coding RNA (GRAI_LNC009763)". The record is from RNAcentral. Lineage: Eukaryota; Viridiplantae; Streptophyta; Magnoliopsida; Malvales; Malvaceae.